RNAcentral lists this ribosomal RNA (736 nucleotides) under Lasioloma arachnoideum. Its description in RNAcentral is "SSU rRNA". It matches the Rfam family "Bacterial small subunit ribosomal RNA", at positions 372 to 1209 of the family's 1533-position model. Lineage: Eukaryota; Fungi; Ascomycota; Lecanoromycetes; Lecanorales; Ectolechiaceae. The record is from RNAcentral.
UGGCCUAACGGCUGAACCAGCAACUUGGAGGAAUGUAUAGCGAAAGCUAAUUUACCAAGUGCAAUAUCAAUUUACUUGAAUAAAGUUCUGAGUGAAAUUAUGAUGAUGACAUGCUUUGCUCAUGUGUCUUGACCAAAUUACGUGCCAGCAGUCGCGGUAAUACGUAGUAGACUAGUGUUAUUCAUCUUUAAUAGGUUUAAAGGGUACCUAGACGGCAAAUUAAGCUUUUAGGAACUAAUUAGCUAGAGUUACUUACGAGGGAGCUUAUAGGUACUGGUGGUGGAGAGAUGAAAUUCUUUGAUACUUUUCUUUGAUAUAGCAGUGACGGCACAGAUUAAGGCGAAAGCAUCUCCUCAUGUGAUAGCUUCAUGUAACGAAGAGGAUUAGGUACCCUUGUAGUUGAAGGCAGACAAUGAUGAGUGUCAUAGAUUAGUUUAUUCUAUAAAUGAUAGUGUAAGCACUCCACCUCAAGAGUAAUUUGGCAACAUUGGAACUGAAAUCAUUAGACCGUUUCUGAAACCAGUAGUGAAGUAUGUUGUUUAAUUUGAUGAUCCGCAAAAAACCUUACCAUGAAUAUUUACAAGCGUUGCACGGCUGUCUUCAGCUAAUGUCGUGAGACUCUGGUUAGUUCCAUUAAAUUAGCGUAAACCCUUGCUUUAUUUGCGUAUAAAGCAGUUCUCCAUUAUAAAGGAUAAGAUAACAGGGACUAAGACAAGUCAUCAUGGCCAUAAGUGUA